UCAAAGCAUGGUCGUCAGGAAAAUGGGAUGGUUGCCAAAAUGUCAGUCUGUGAUGGGUGCCAUAUUGCAUUGUUCUUUGAGUGCUGGAAUACAGCUUGGGAUUCUUCAAGGGUUGUUAUCAUGGUAUAAACUGUACUGUACAGCUGCUGAACGUCUUAACCAUUUGGAUUCAUACAUAACUUAAUGCGCUCCUGGAAGAAGUGGAAGAGCCUCUUGCUGAAACUUGAGGAUAUUGUGGAAGAUGCUGCUGAGACCCAUUUGGAUUACAUCACCAAAUAUGACAUCAAGGUCCUGCAGCUGAUGAAAGGAGUUCAUCACAUCUUUUUGUUAUGUGGAUGCUGAAGCAUUAUCCUGAGACAGCAGCAAUGAUUGAUGAACACAUUUCAGGCUUGAGUCACAGAGCAGCAUAAAGAUUUACACAUCUGAAGUAGGAGGGUGAAUGGGAUUGAAGUAUUUACAGGGAGGAUUCUGAACUCCCCUCCUUCCUGCUCCAGGAAACACAGGAGAUGCAGACGGAUCACUUUACCAGCUGUCAAGGCAAAUGUUGCAGUAUAGUCCUUGCUCUCAGCAACGUUCUCAGUGUCCUGGUGAUGGGGUGCCUUGGAAGGACUGCGCAGAACAAGCUUUGUACUACCUCUGCACUUCAGGUUCUCUGUGCUGCAUAAAGCUGCACCGUUCGGAAGAAGCGAGAUUGUCUUUCCGUACAGCUACAAUGCUGCACCGCUCUCAACACAGCCUGCUUUUCCCCCAUUUACCUGGGCGGCUGCUGCUGUUUCGGCUGCUGCUGGGGCUGCUGCAGUCUCACUGCCUGUGCUUCACCCCGGCUUGGCUGACUCGAAACUCACUCGUCUGCACAUUGCUAAGGAAGAAGAACGAUGGAGCCGCAUUUUUUCUGGUUCUGGAAGCAAAGGGUUGCGAUUUGUGAUGA
Long non-coding RNA from Athene cunicularia (burrowing owl), 928 nucleotides. RefSeq lists it as uncharacterized. The transcript is spliced from 5 exons. The record is from RefSeq and is a predicted model, not a curated record. Lineage: Eukaryota; Metazoa; Chordata; Aves; Strigiformes; Strigidae.